RNAcentral lists this ribosomal RNA (387 nucleotides) under uncultured bacterium. RNAcentral's name for it is "partial 16S ribosomal RNA". It matches the Rfam family "Bacterial small subunit ribosomal RNA", at positions 523 to 913 of the family's 1533-position model. The record is from RNAcentral.
AUACGGAGGAUGCGAGCGUUAUCCGGAUUUAUUGGGUUUAAAGGGAGCGUAGGCGGGAGCUUAAGUCAGCGGUUAAAUGGUGCGGCUCAACCGUGCCCUGCCGUUGAAACUGGGUUUCUUGAGAGUGCAAGAGGCGGAUGGAAUUCAUGGUGUAGCGGUGAAAUGCUUAGAUAUCAUGAAGAACUCCGAUUGCGAAGGCAGUCCGCUGGGGCACGUCUGACGCUGAUGCUCGAAGGUGCGGGAAUCAAACAGGAUUAGAUACCCUGGUAGUCCGCACGGUAAACGAUGAUUACCCGCUGUCGGCGGCAGACAGUCGGCGGCCAAGCGAAAGCGAUAAGUAAUCCACCUGGGGAGUACGCCGGCAACGGUGAAACUCAAAGGAAUUGG